GCCGGGGUCGCUCCCCGUGCUGGCAAAGCCUGGUUACAAUUGUAACCAUCAUGAUGGAAUGACCACAGCGCCGGACUCAUAAUCCGGAGAUCGUGGGUUCGAAACGCCCACCCCCGGCA
This 119-nucleotide transfer RNA is filed under the name Candidatus Helarchaeota archaeon. RNAcentral's name for it is "tRNA-Met". Lineage: Archaea; Promethearchaeati; Candidatus Helarchaeota. The record is from RNAcentral.